This 440-nucleotide ribosomal RNA is filed under the name uncultured bacterium. RNAcentral describes it as "partial 16S ribosomal RNA". It matches the Rfam family "Bacterial small subunit ribosomal RNA", at positions 338 to 795 of the family's 1533-position model. The record is from RNAcentral.
CCUACGGGUGGCAGCAGUGGGGGAUAUUGCACAAUGGGGGAAACCCUGAUGCAGCGACGCCGCGUGGGUGAAGAAGCGCCUCGGCGCGUAAAGCCCUGUCAGCAGGGAAGAAAAUGACGGUACCUGAAGAAGAAGCCCCGGCUAACUACGUGCCAGCAGCCGCGGUAAUACGGAGGGGGCAAGCGUUACCCGGAGUUACUGGGUGUAAAGGGGGCGCAGACGGCGAUGCAAGCCAGGAGUGAAAGCCCGGGGCCCAACCCCGGGACUGCGCGUGGAACUGCGUGGCUAGAGUGCAGGAGGGGCAGGCGGAAUUCCUGGUGUAGCGGUGAAAUGCGUAGAGAGCAGGAGGAACACCGGUGGCGAAGGCGGCCUGCUGGACUGCAACUGACGUUGAGGCCCGAAAGCGUGGGGAGCAAACAGGAUUAGAUACCCUGGUAGUC